ACCAAUCAACUUGCUUUCCUAGUGGAAACAGGAUCAUUCUGCCACCAACAGCAGCUGGACCAAGCACAUGACCUUGAUGUGAACUGCUCCCCAGAAUUGACUGGCACAGGACAGGUGAGAGAUAAAGACAAGACAGAAAUGCCCAGAGAAGUUGGAGAAGACACCAUUGAGACAAUGGAAUGUCCACUAACGCUUCGAGACUUCAGAACUCUGAUCAAUGUUGGAACCACGUGAGAGUUGGAGGCCUGAGGCAAAUGAUGC
This 261-nucleotide long non-coding RNA is filed under the name Vombatus ursinus (common wombat). RNAcentral's name for it is "lncRNA (ENSVURG00010021064.1)". Lineage: Eukaryota; Metazoa; Chordata; Mammalia; Diprotodontia; Vombatidae. The record is from RNAcentral.